This 68-nucleotide transfer RNA is filed under the name Cymbiola nobilis. RNAcentral's name for it is "tRNA-Ser". The record is from RNAcentral. Lineage: Eukaryota; Metazoa; Mollusca; Gastropoda; Neogastropoda; Volutidae.
AGAAAAAACUUGGAGUGAAAUGGGGCUGCUAACUUCGUUUUGGGUAAUUCGAUUUUAUCCUUUUUCUU